This 484-nucleotide ribosomal RNA is filed under the name uncultured bacterium. RNAcentral's name for it is "partial 16S ribosomal RNA". It matches the Rfam family "Bacterial small subunit ribosomal RNA", at positions 28 to 523 of the family's 1533-position model. The record is from RNAcentral.
GACGAACGCUGGCGGCGUGCUUAACACAUGCAAGUCGAACGAUGAAGCCGGAGCUUGCUCUGGUGAAUUAGUGGCGAACGGGUGAGUAACACGUGAGUAACCUGCCCUUGACUCUGGGAUAACUGCGGGAAACUGUAGCUAAUACCGGAUACGACCCUCGGAGGCAUCUCCUGGGGGUGGAAAGAAUUUCGGUCAAGGAUGGACUCGCGGCCUAUCAGCUAGUUGGUGAGGUAAAGGCUCACCAAGGCGACGACGGGUAGCCGGCCUGAAAGGGUGACCGGCCACACUGGGACUGAGACACGGCCCAGACUCCUACGGGAGGCAGCAGUGGGGAAUAUUGCACAAUGGGCGCAAGCCUGAUGCAGCAACGCCGCGUGAGGGAUGACGGCCUUCGGGUUGUAAACCUCUUUUAGCAGGGAAGAAGCGAAAGUGACGGUACCUGCAGGAAAAGCACCGGCUAACUACGUGCCAGCCGCCGCAGUAA